AGAACGAACGCUGGCGGCAUGCCUAACACAUGCAAGUCGAACGCUCAUCCGGCUUCGGCCGGAUGGGAGUGGCGCACGGGUGAGUAGCGCGUGGGAACCUGCCCUGUUGUGGGGGAUAACCGAGGGAAACUUCGGCUAAUACCGCAUGCGCCCCGGCGAAAGCCGGGGGAAAGAUUUAUCGCAGCAGGAGGGGCCCGCGUCGGAUUAGGUAGUUGGUGGGGUAACGGCCCACCAAGCCGAUGAUCCGUAGCUGGUCUGAGAGGAUGAUCAGCCACACUGGGACUGAGACACGGCCCAGACUCCUACGGGAGGCAGCAGUGGGGAAUAUUGGACAAUGGGGGCAACCCUGAUCCAGCAAUGCCGCGUGAGUGAUGAAGGCCUUAGGGUUGUAAAGCUCUUUCGCCCGCGACGAUGAUGACGGUAGCGGGAGAAGAAGCCCGGCUAACUUCGCGCCAGCAGCCGC
RNAcentral lists this ribosomal RNA (463 nucleotides) under uncultured bacterium. RNAcentral's name for it is "SSU rRNA". It matches the Rfam family "Bacterial small subunit ribosomal RNA", at positions 26 to 518 of the family's 1533-position model. The record is from RNAcentral.